RNAcentral lists this small nuclear RNA (140 nucleotides) under Mus spretus (western wild mouse). RNAcentral describes it as "predicted gene, 22005 (ENSMSPG00010031399.1)". It matches the Rfam family "U4 spliceosomal RNA". From Rfam's summary of the family: U4 small nuclear RNA (U4 snRNA) is a component of the major U2-dependent spliceosome. The structure of U4 snRNA from yeast and human has been reported. U4 snRNA presents a k-turn RNA motif in the 5p-SL related to recognition of Snu13 protein. Lineage: Eukaryota; Metazoa; Chordata; Mammalia; Rodentia; Muridae. The record is from RNAcentral.
AGCUUUGCGCAGUGGAAGUAUUGUAGCCCGUGAGGUUAUCUGAGGCAUGACUAUUGCUAAUUGAAAACUUUCCCCAGUACCCUGUCGUGACUACCUGCAGUACAGUCAGCACUGGCAAUUUCUGACAGUCUUUGUGGAGA